This 455-nucleotide ribosomal RNA is filed under the name uncultured Anaerolineaceae bacterium. Its description in RNAcentral is "bacterial SSU rRNA". It matches the Rfam family "Bacterial small subunit ribosomal RNA", at positions 915 to 1382 of the family's 1533-position model. The record is from RNAcentral. Lineage: Bacteria; Bacillati; Chloroflexota; Anaerolineae; Anaerolineales; Anaerolineaceae.
GGGGACCCGCACAAGCAGCGGAGCGUGUGGUUUAAUUCGAUGCUAACACGAAGAACCUUACCAGGGUUUGACAUGCAAGUGGUAGGAAAACUGAAAAGGGACCGACCCUUCGGGGAGCUUGCACAGGUGCUGCAUGGCUGUCGUCAGCUCGUGUCGUGAGAUGUUCGGUUAAGUCCGCUAACGAGCGCAACCCUCACUGUGUGUUAUAUGUGUCACAACGGGACUGCCGGUUUUAAGCCGGAGAAGGUGGGGAUGACGUCAAGUCAGCAUGGCCUUUAUAUCCUGGGCUACACACACGCUACAAUGGUCGGUACAAUAGGUUGCCAAGCCGCGAGGCGGAGCCAAUCCAAAAAGCCGUUCUCAGUUCGGAUUGGAGUCUGCAACUCGACUCCAUGAAGUUGGAAUCGCUAGUAAUCGUGGAUCAGCGUGCCACGGUGAAUACGUUCCCGGGCCUU